This 301-nucleotide ribosomal RNA is filed under the name uncultured bacterium. Its description in RNAcentral is "partial 16S ribosomal RNA". It matches the Rfam family "Bacterial small subunit ribosomal RNA", at positions 509 to 807 of the family's 1533-position model. The record is from RNAcentral.
CAGUCGCCGCGGUAAUACGUAGGGUGCAAGCGUUAAUCGGAAUUACUGGGCGUAAAGCGUGCGCAGGCGGUUUGUUAAGACAGAUGUGAAAUCCCCGGGCUCAACCUGGGAACUGCAUUUGUGACUGGCAGGCUAGAGUAUGGCAGAGGGGGGUGGAAUUCCGCGUGUAGCAGUGAAAUGCGUAGAGAUCGGGAGGAACAUCAGUGGCGAAGGCGGCCAUCUGGGACAACACUGACGCUGAGGCACGAAAGCGUGGGGAGCAAACAGGAUUAGAUACCCCCGUAGUCCCUGUCUCUUAUAC